This 253-nucleotide ribosomal RNA is filed under the name uncultured bacterium. RNAcentral describes it as "partial 16S ribosomal RNA". It matches the Rfam family "Bacterial small subunit ribosomal RNA", at positions 15 to 263 of the family's 1533-position model. The record is from RNAcentral.
GAUCCUGGCUCAGGAUGAACGCUAGCUACAGGCUUAACACAUGCAAGUCGAGGGGCAGCAUGACCUAGCAAUAGGUUGAUGGCGACCGGCGCACGGGUGAGUAACACGUAUCCAACCUACCGGUUAUUCUGGGAUAGCCUUUCGAAAGAAAGAUUAAUACCGGAUAGCAUAACGAGAAGGCAUCUUCUUGUUAUUAAAGAAUUUCGAUAACCGAUGGGGAUGCGUUCCAUUAGUUUGUUGGCGGGGUUAACGG